GAUGAACGCUGGCGGUAGGCCUAACACAUGCGAGUCGAACGGCAGCACAGUAAGAGCUUGCUCUUACGGGUGGCGAGUGGCGGACGGGUGAGGAAUACAUCGGAAUCUACUUUUUCGUGGGGGAUAACGUAGGGAAACUUACGCUAAUACCGCAUACGACCUACGGGUGAAAGCAGGGGAUCUUCGGACCUUGCGCGAUUGAAUGAGCCGAUGUCGGAUUAGCUAGUUGGCGGGGUAAAGGCCCACCAAGGCGACGAUCCGUAGCUGGUCUGAGAGGAUGAUCAGCCACACUGGAACUGAGACACGGUCCAGACUCCUACGGGAGGCAGCAGUGGGGAAUAUUGGACAAUGGGCGCAAGCCUGAUCCAGCCAUACCGCGUGGGUGAAGAAGGCCUUCGGGUUGUAAAGCCCUUUUGUUGGGAAAGAAAAGCAGCAGGUUAAUACCCCGCUGUUCUGACGGUACCCAAAGAAUAAGCACCGGCUAACUUCGUG
RNAcentral lists this ribosomal RNA (492 nucleotides) under uncultured bacterium. Its description in RNAcentral is "partial 16S ribosomal RNA". It matches the Rfam family "Bacterial small subunit ribosomal RNA", at positions 28 to 507 of the family's 1533-position model. The record is from RNAcentral.